Molecule: ribosomal RNA, 468 nt
Filed under: uncultured bacterium
Lineage: Bacteria
Description: partial 16S ribosomal RNA
Rfam family: Bacterial small subunit ribosomal RNA
Source: RNAcentral
GACGAACGCUGGCGGCGUGCUUAGCACAUGCAAGUCGAACGGGAAGGCCCUGCUUUUGUGGGGUGCUCGAGUGGCGAACGGGUGAGUAACACGUGAGUAACCUGCCCUUGACUUUGGGAUAACUUCAGGAAACUGGGGCUAAUACCGGAUAGGAGCUCCUGCUGCAUGGUGGGGGUUGGAAAGUUUCGGCGGUUGGGGAUGGACUCGCGGCUUAUCAGCUUGUUGGUGGGGUAGUGGCUUACCAAGGCUUUGACGGGUAGCCGGCCUGAGAGGGUGACCGGCCACAUUGGGACUGAGAUACGGCCCAGACUCCUACGGGAGGCAGCAGUGGGGAAUAUUGCACAAUGGGCGGAAGCCUGAUGCAGCAACGCCGCGUGCGGGAUGACGGCCUUCGGGUUGUAAACCGCUUUCGCCUGUGACGAAGCGUGAGUGACGGUAAUGGGUAAAGAAGCACCGGCUAACUACGUG